This 256-nucleotide ribosomal RNA is filed under the name Metepeira atascadero. RNAcentral's name for it is "partial 12S ribosomal RNA". Lineage: Eukaryota; Metazoa; Arthropoda; Arachnida; Araneae; Araneidae. The record is from RNAcentral.
ACCUGCCUAUUAAUCGAUUCUCCACGAUAUAUUUUACUUUUAUUUAAAUCUUAUAUACCUCCAUCUCAAGGAUUAAUAAUUAUAUUCUCCCCCUAAUAGAAAUUCUAAAAAGUUAGGUAAAGGUGUAGACUACAUAAAAGCUGGGGUGGGUUACAAUAAAUCUUAUUUAAGGAUGUUUAAUUAAAAUUUUAAUUGAAAAAGGAUUUAUAAGUAAUUUAAGAAUAAUAUUCCUUAAUGAACCUGAUAAAUAAUGUGC